UACGAAGGGGGCUAGCGUUGCUCGGAUUUACUGGGCGUAAAGGGCGCGUAGGCGGACAGUUAAGUUGGGGGUGAAAGCCCGGGGCUCAACCUCGGAAUUGCCUUCAAUACUGGCUGUCUUGAGUGUGAGAGAGGUGUGUGGAACUCCGAGUGUAGAGGUGAAAUUCGUAGAUAUUCGGAAGAACACCAGUGGCGAAGGCGACACACUGGCUCACUACUGACGCUGAGGCGCGAAAGCGUGGGAGCAACAGG
RNAcentral lists this ribosomal RNA (251 nucleotides) under uncultured bacterium. RNAcentral describes it as "partial 16S ribosomal RNA". It matches the Rfam family "Bacterial small subunit ribosomal RNA", at positions 524 to 776 of the family's 1533-position model. The record is from RNAcentral.